This 257-nucleotide ribosomal RNA is filed under the name uncultured archaeon. RNAcentral's name for it is "partial 16S ribosomal RNA". It matches the Rfam family "Bacterial small subunit ribosomal RNA", at positions 521 to 776 of the family's 1533-position model. The record is from RNAcentral.
UAACACGUAGGGUGCGAGCGUUGUCCGGAAUUAUUGGGCGUAAAGAGCUCGUAGGCGGUGUGUCGCGUCGGCCGUGAAAACCUGCAGCUUAACUGUGGGCGUGCGGUCGAUACGGGCAUCACUGGAGUUCGGCAGGGGAGACUGGAAUUCCUGGUGUAGCGGUGAAAUGCGCAGAUAUCAGGAGGAACACCGGUGGCGAAGGCGGGUCUCUGGGCCGAUACUGACGCUGAGGAGCGAAAGCGUGGGGAGCGAACAGG